GACGAACGCUGGCGGCGUGCUCAACACAUGCAAGUCGAGCGAGGCCCUCCUUCGGGGGGUGCCCUAGUGGCGAACGGGUGAGUAACACGUGGGCAACCUGCCCUCAGCUCUGGGAUAACCCCCGGAAACGGGAGCUAAUACCGGAUAUGACCAAGCGAGACAUCUCGCGUGGUGGAAAGUUUUUCGGCNGAGGAUGGGCCCGCGGCCUAUCAGCUUGUUGGUGGGGUAACCGGCCCACCAAGGCGACGACGGGUAGCCGGCCUGAGAGGGCGAACGG
RNAcentral lists this ribosomal RNA (277 nucleotides) under uncultured bacterium. Its description in RNAcentral is "partial 16S ribosomal RNA". It matches the Rfam family "Bacterial small subunit ribosomal RNA", at positions 28 to 307 of the family's 1533-position model. The record is from RNAcentral.